UUCUAAAAUCUAUAUGAUUAUCUUAACAGAAAAAUCUCCGACAUACAAAAUUCUUUAAGGCUGUUUUUAGCGAUGUAGUUGCUAUGCAACAACUAAGCAAGGCAUUACCUAGAGAGUGCACUUCAAAAAUGAGUCUAUUUGAGUGCUUCCAACCAAAAAUUUGGUGGAAUAUGUGAAGUCGCCCCUGUUUAUUUUCCAGUCAGGGUUUGAUUCAUAUUAAGUUAACUACAUUU
Molecule: long non-coding RNA, 233 nt
Organism: Ipomoea nil (Japanese morning glory)
Lineage: Eukaryota; Viridiplantae; Streptophyta; Magnoliopsida; Solanales; Convolvulaceae
Exons: 3
Source: RefSeq, a predicted model, not a curated record